UUUGAGAUACUUGAUGAGGCAGAAGUCACAUGGAACCCGUGGACUCAGGACCAGCUAAAAAUGGUCUUUGAUGCUCGACACUUCACACCAGGCAUGUUGACCGAUAGUGCAUUCUGGCUGACUCGCUGCAACUUAUUGUUCCUGUGGUGUGUUGAACCUUACAACCCAGAGCGUGUAAUGAGACAGUUCGGUCUCUAUCAAGAAAUUCCACCACCUUUUCCCAGACGUAUCGACGAGGAAACACAUAAGCUAACCAAUAUGGGCAGGGGUUGGAGUUUAUACGAUUGGAGGGAAGAGAACAGUGAAUGGGUACACAAGUGGACAAAUGAAGCGCUAGCAGAUAUAGUGCGUCAACUUAGGCCGUACGAUGGAAGUACAGAUCAAGCGUACAAGCAGUGGUACUGCAUGAACACACGUGCUAGCCU
This is a long non-coding RNA of Triticum dicoccoides, 425 nucleotides long. RefSeq lists it as uncharacterized. The record is from RefSeq and is a predicted model, not a curated record. Lineage: Eukaryota; Viridiplantae; Streptophyta; Magnoliopsida; Poales; Poaceae. The transcript has 3 exons.